AGAAUCAACGCUGGCGGCGUGCCUAACACAUGCAAGUCGCACGAGAAAGGGGCUUCGGCUCUGAGUAAAGUGGCGCACGGGUGAGUAACACGUGACUAAUCUACCCUCGAGUGGGGAAUAACUGAGAGAAAUCUUAGCUAAUACCGCAUAACACUUACGAGUCAAAGCAGCAAUGCGCUUGGGGAGGAGGUCGCGGCCGAUUAGCUAGUUGGCGGGGUAAUGGCCCACCAAGGCGAUGAUCGGUA
Molecule: ribosomal RNA, 245 nt
Filed under: uncultured bacterium
Lineage: Bacteria
Description: partial small subunit ribosomal RNA
Rfam family: Bacterial small subunit ribosomal RNA
Source: RNAcentral